GGUAUAGUUCUUCGGAAUUAGAGACCGGCGCACGGGUGCGUAACGCGUAUGCAAUCUACCUUUUACAGAGGGAUAGCCCAGAGAAAUUUGGAUUAAUACCUCAUAGUAUUAUGAAAUGGCAUCAUUUUAUAAUUAAAGUCACAACGGUAAAAGAUGAGCAUGCGUCCCAUUAGCUAGUUGGUAAGGUAACGGCUUACCAAGGCUACGAUGGGUAGGGGUCCUGAGAGGGAGAUCCCCCACACUGGUACUGAGACACGGACCAGACUCCUACGGGAGGCAGCAGUGAGGAAUAUUGGACAAUGGGCGCAAGCCUGAUCCAGCCAUGCCGCGUGCAGGAUGACGGUCCUAUGGAUUGUAAACUGCUUUUAUACAGGAAGAAACCCUGGUUCGUGAACCAGCUUGACGGUACUGUAAGAAUAAGGAUCGGCUAACUCCGUGCCAGCAGCCGCGGUAAUACGGAGGAUCCAAGCGUUAUCCGGAAUCAUUGGGUUUAAAGGGUCCGUAGGCGGUUUAGUAAGUCAGUGGUGAAAGCCCAUCGCUCAACGGUGGAACGGCCAUUGAUACUGCUAAACUUGAAUUUAUUAGGAAGUAACUAGAAUAUGUAGUGUAGCGGUGAAAUGCUUAGAGAUUACAUGGAAUACCAAUUGCGAAGGCAGGUUACUACUAAUUGAUUGACGCUGAUGGACGAAAGCGUGGGUAGCGAACAGGAUUAGAUACCCUGGUAGUCCACGCCGUAAACGAUGGAUACUAGCUGUUGGGGGCAACUUCAGUGGCUAAGCGAAAGUGAUAAGUAUCCCACCUGGGGAGUACGUUCGCAAGAAUGAAACUCAAAGGAAUUGACGGGGGCCCGCACAAGCGGUGGAGCAUGUGGUUUAAUUCGAUGAUACGCGAGGAACCUUACCAAGGCUUAAAUGUAGUUUGACCGAUUUGGAAACAGAUUUUUCGCAAGACAAAUUACAAGGUGCUGCAUGGUUGUCGUCAGCUCGUGCCGUGAGGUGUCAGGUUAAGUCCUAUAACGAGCGCAACCCCUGUUGUUAGUUGCCAGCGAGUCAUGUCGGGAACUCUAACAAGACUGCCAGUGCAAACUGUGAGGAAGGUGGGGAUGACGUCAAAUCAUCACGGCCCUUACGCCUUGGGC
RNAcentral lists this ribosomal RNA (1138 nucleotides) under Flavobacterium sp. RNAcentral describes it as "bacterial SSU rRNA". It matches the Rfam family "Bacterial small subunit ribosomal RNA", at positions 66 to 1214 of the family's 1533-position model. Lineage: Bacteria; Pseudomonadati; Bacteroidota; Flavobacteriia; Flavobacteriales; Flavobacteriaceae. The record is from RNAcentral.